AAAGGAACAGGGUUUGUGUGUCAAUGGGCCAAUGACUCCACGAAAUUCCGGUCUUGCGCGUUGUUGCAACUUGUACAUCCGGCGCCGGCGCUUCGUGGCUGCUGUGACUGAUCGAAGUUGAAACCACAUGCUGGGCGUUAUUAUAUUGCUGGGUACUUCACUCACACGACAUUGCAGCGGCCGAUUGCGCGGUGCAGCAGGGCCAUAGGGUUUUGCAGAACCAUACUCGCUGAGAAUUAAGGUGGCGACCCGUUCACGAUAUGUUUGCAUAAGCUGUCAGACAUAGAAAUAAAUUCGAAAACUGCAAACAGCUGCUACAAGAUAAAGAUGACAGCUGGAUCUGUGAACAAUAUUGGAUGCAAGAGAAUAAGAAAAAACAGAACAAUGAAAACUGGUCUUCUAUAUGAAAAGCAUUAUCUAAAACAACGUCAUUCGCGUCAUCAAAAAUCGUUAUUUUGAGUUUUGAGUUGUUUUCAAUCAGCUAUGAGGUAGAUUCGAAUACUACUACGUUGCUAUUGUUGUCCAGAUUUUGGAAUGUAGCUCAAAAAAGAAGGUCUGUGGUGGUUCGCAACUGGUUGUCCAAUUGUGAAGGCGUUUGCGCUUAGUUGGUAUUCGUGAAUUUUGAAGUUGAUGUCAAAACUAUGUACCAAAAGGAAAUGUUUUAAAAUUAUUUAUGCAAGUUAAUUAAUUGUGUUGUACUGACAGCGUCUAAUAGAAGUCGUAAUUCGUUGUCCAUUUGUCAAGACGUCUUGUGUAAUUGGUAUUCGUCAUUACCAUUCAUCUCUUGCAGUCGAAAUAAAGUUAGACUGAAAAAAAAUGUUUUAAAAUUAUUCAUGCAAGUUAAUUGAUUGUGUCGUUCUGAUUCUGGUCUGGUAUUUGCCAUCUUGAACCUGAUGUCCUAUUUUAAAAUAAAACUAAAAAGUGAUGAUGUUUAAGGAAUAUUAAUUCAAGUUCUGGAUUCUGGAAUACAUCUAAUAGAAGUGGUUCGUAAUUCGUUGUCCAUUUGUCAAGACGUCUUGUGUAGUUGGUAUUCGUCAUUACCAUUCAUCCCUUGCACUCGAAAUCAAGUUAGACUGAAAAAAAAUGUUUUAAAAUUAUUCAUGCAAGUUAAUUGAUUGUGUCGUUCUGAUUCUGGUCUGGUAUUUGCCAUCUUGAACCUGAUGUCCUAUUUUAAAAUAAAACUAAAAAGUGAUGAUGUUUAAGAAAUAUUAAUUCAAGUUCUGGAUUCUGGAAUACAUCUAAUAGAAGUGGUUCGUAAUUCGUUGUCCAUUUGU
Molecule: long non-coding RNA, 1274 nt
Organism: Trichoplusia ni (cabbage looper)
Lineage: Eukaryota; Metazoa; Arthropoda; Insecta; Lepidoptera; Noctuidae
Exons: 3
Source: RefSeq, a predicted model, not a curated record